This 212-nucleotide unclassified non-coding RNA is filed under the name soil metagenome. RNAcentral's name for it is "partial contains 5.8S ribosomal RNA, internal transcribed spacer 2, and large subunit ribosomal RNA". The record is from RNAcentral.
AAGACUAUAGACCUGCGGAGUACCUGCGGAGGGAUCAUUACAUGAUUUGAGGGGGCUCACGUCCCCUCAUCCAACCCACAAACCCCGAGGAACUUUUAUGUCGAGUGGUUCGGCGCUCUCUUUGAGAGCCGCCCCUCAAACGCAUCGCAGGCUUUUCAUGAAGGUCUGAUGUGUCACAUCGUGAGUAUUAAAACUUUCAACAAUGGAUCUCU